This is a long non-coding RNA of Anthonomus grandis grandis, 339 nucleotides long. RefSeq lists it as uncharacterized. The record is from RefSeq and is a predicted model, not a curated record. The transcript has 2 exons. Lineage: Eukaryota; Metazoa; Arthropoda; Insecta; Coleoptera; Curculionidae.
UGUCACUGUCAGUUCGAAAAUUAAUAGUUUUUAUCACAAUAAAUUAUGGCUAAUUUAACGGAAACCCAACGAAUUAAAAUUUUGAUGAUGCUAGGGUACGGGAAUCGAGUGCGCACGGAAAAAGAAGUAUGAAAACAAAAGCACCGACCAUCGAGACGUGACCUCGGAUCUGGCAGUUCGCAGCUGGCUAAUCAGGUUCGCCUUUUGUCUUACAGCAAGACAGACCAGCGUAUAGUCACUUGGAGUUUUAUUUCCAUACCUGUAUAUAAACACAACCACGUAUAAUUAUUAUACUCAUUAAUGUAAUUAUUAUAUACUAAUUAAAAUGCUACUUUAUUC